AGAUUUAGGGUUUAGGGUUUACGUUUAGGGUUUAGAGUUGAUGUUUAAGGGUUUAGAUUUGAAGGUUUAGGGUUUAGGGUUUAGGGUUCGAAUUUCAGAAAAAUAUAAGGUUUAGGGUUUAGUGUUUAAGUUUAGGGUUUAGAGUUGAUGUUUUAGGGUUUUGAUUUGAAGGUUUGGGAUUUAGAGUUGAUGUUUCGGGGUUUAGGGUUUAGAGUUGAUGUUUCAUGGUUUAGAGUUUAGAGUUGAUGAUUUAGGGUUUAAAGUUGAUAUUUUAAGUUUAGAUUUAGGGUUUAGGGUUUUUGUUUAGGGUUUAGAGUUGAUGUUUUAGGGUUUAGAUUGUAAGUUUUAGGGUUUAGAGUUCAUGUUUCCGGGUUUAGGAUUUAGAGUUAAUGAUUUAGGGUUUAGAGUUGAUGUUUUAAGUUUAGAUUAGUUAACCAUAUGUUUUUUUUUUGUCAAAGGUAAUCAAAAGAUUAUAAAAGUAUUUUACCCUUCAUUAAAGAUGAGGGUAAAGUCGUUAGUGUAAACAUGAAAAGUGGUAUUU
RNAcentral lists this long non-coding RNA (541 nucleotides) under Brassica napus (rape). Its description in RNAcentral is "long non-coding RNA (BNAP_LNC025206)". Lineage: Eukaryota; Viridiplantae; Streptophyta; Magnoliopsida; Brassicales; Brassicaceae. The record is from RNAcentral.